Molecule: ribosomal RNA, 491 nt
Filed under: uncultured bacterium
Lineage: Bacteria
Description: partial 16S ribosomal RNA
Rfam family: Bacterial small subunit ribosomal RNA
Source: RNAcentral
AGUGAACCCUGGCGGUAGGCCUAACACAUGCAAGUCGAACGGCAGCACAGUAAGAGCUUGCUCUUACGGGUGGCGAGUGGCGGACGGGUGAGGAAUACAUCGGAAUCUACUUUUUCGUGGGGGAUAACGUAGGGAAACUUACGCUAAUACCGCAUACGACCUACGGGUGAAAGCAGGGGAUCUUCGGACCUUGCGCGAUUGAAUGAGCCGAUGUCGGAUUAGCUAGUUGGCGGGGUAAAGGCCCACCAAGGCGACGAUCCGUAGCUGGUCUGAGAGGAUGAUCAGCCACACUGGAACUGAGACACGGUCCCGACUCCUACGGGGGGCAGCAGUGGGGAAUAUUGGACAAUGGGCGCAAGCCUGAUCCAGCCAUACCGCGUGGGUGAAGAAGGCCUUCGGGUUGUAAAGCCCUUUUGUUGGGAAAGAAAAGCAGCAGGUUAAUACCCCGCUGUUCUGACGGUACCCAAAGAAUAAGCACCGGCUAACUUCGU